GACGAGAGUCUGAACCAGCCAAAUCGCGUGAAGGAAGACUGCCUUAUGGGUUGUAAACUUCUUUUAUACAGGAAUAAAAAGAGUUACGUGUAACUUAUUGCAUGUACUGUAUGAAUAAGCAUCGGCUAACUCCGUGCCAGCAGCCGCGGUAAUACGGAGGAUGCGAGCGUUAUCCGGAUUUAUUGGGUUUAAAGGGUGCGCAGGCGGGAUCUUAAGUCAGCGGUGAAAUUUUCAGGCUCAACCUGAACACUGCCGUUGAAACUGGGAUUCUUGAGUAUAGAUGAAGUAGGCGGAAUUCGUUGUGUAGCGGUGACAUGCUUAGAUAUAACGAGGAACUCCAAUUGCGUAGGCAGCUUACUAAGCUAUAACUGACGCUCAAGCACGAAAGCGUGGGGAUCAAACAGGAUUAGAUACCCUGGUAGUCCACGCCGUAAACGAUGAUUACUAGUUGUUUGUGAUAUAUUAUAAGUGACUAAGCGAAAGCGAUAAGUAAUCCACCUGGGGAGUA
Molecule: ribosomal RNA, 508 nt
Filed under: uncultured bacterium
Lineage: Bacteria
Description: bacterial SSU rRNA
Rfam family: Bacterial small subunit ribosomal RNA
Source: RNAcentral